RNAcentral lists this long non-coding RNA (857 nucleotides) under Parus major (Great Tit). Its description in RNAcentral is "lncRNA (ENSPMJG00000006977.1)". Lineage: Eukaryota; Metazoa; Chordata; Aves; Passeriformes; Paridae. The record is from RNAcentral.
UUCAGGAGGCUUCACAUGGUCCUCACUGAUAUGCCAUGCAACAAGAUGUGUGGAUGUGGCGCUUGAAGACAUGGUUUAGUGGUGGGUCUGGCAGAGCUGGACUCAAUGAUCUCAAGGGUCUCUCUCGACCUAAAUGAUCCUGUGAUUCUAAGAUGAUGUGAGACCUCUGGUAGGAGAAGAGGGAGGCCAGGACUCCUGACUGGGAGCUGGUUGCAAGUGAAAGUGAUUUGAAAAUUACCUGAUGGGAAAUGUCAUGUGUAGAUAAAAGGAGCAGAUGGGGUUGUUUAUUCUUAGCUGUCUAUGUGAGUUUUAAGCUGGGGGACCUUUCCAUGGCUGUGACCUAAAGAUUUCUGUCUUUUAUUUUUUUAUAUGAUCCUCUGAAAUGACUGUCCUUCAGCUCUUGAACUUCUGCCCUUCCAUAGGGGCCCCUUCAGUAGAAGUGGAUGAGGUGAUAUGACCUGGCUUUUCCUGGCAGCCUGCUCAGAAGGUGCAGCUGUGGAAAAUGAAACAUCUCCUUAUCUGGUACAAGGUCAUGCUAUGGGGAUACAGGCUUCUCUUCUGUGUCUUGUCAGCCUCAAAGGAAAUUGGACAGGAGGUUGGCUGAAAGUGUACCAGAGCUCUACAGGGAUUUCUUGUGCCUUUUCAAGGAAGGAUUUGCUGUGUUCUAGAAUGUGUAAAUAUUGUUCAGGGCUUGUUUUGUUUUGUUUUUUAUCUCAAAUGCUUGCCAAGGAAAUAGAACUGCGCAAACAUAAUUAGCCAGAGGCUGAACAUUUAAUCUUAAAUUCUGAGUCUUCAUUAAGUCUUAAUUUAAACCUUAGGAGGGAAGCUUGCAACCAUUCCUGUUCAUAAGAGUGGAU